UGCCCAGACUCCUACGGGAGGCAGCAGUGGGGAAUAUUGCGCAAUGGGCGAAAGCCUGACGCAGCGACGCCGCGUGAGUGAAGAAGUAAUUCGUUAUGUAAAGCUCUAUCAGCAGGGAAGAAAAUGACGGUACCUGACUAAGAAGCCCCGGCUAACUACGUGCCAGCAGCCGCGGUAAUACGUAGGGGGCAAGCGUUAUCCGGAUUUACUGGGUGUAAAGGGAGCGUAGACGGCUGUGCAAGCCAGAUGUGAAAGCCCGGGGCUCAACCCCGGGACUGCAUUUGGAACUGCGUGGCUUGAGUGUCGGAGAGGCAGGCGGAAUUCCUAGUGUAGCGGUGAAAUGCGUAGAUAUUAGGGGGAACACCAGUGGCGAAGGCGGCCUGCUGGACGAUGACUGACGUUGAGGCUCGAAAGCGUGGGGAGCAAACAGGAUUAGAUACCCCCGUACA
This 449-nucleotide ribosomal RNA is filed under the name uncultured bacterium. Its description in RNAcentral is "bacterial SSU rRNA". It matches the Rfam family "Bacterial small subunit ribosomal RNA", at positions 328 to 794 of the family's 1533-position model. The record is from RNAcentral.